RNAcentral lists this long non-coding RNA (319 nucleotides) under Mustela putorius furo (domestic ferret). RNAcentral describes it as "lncRNA (ENSMPUG00000029924.1)". Lineage: Eukaryota; Metazoa; Chordata; Mammalia; Carnivora; Mustelidae. The record is from RNAcentral.
UGUAGAUAUGGAUACAGUCCCCCAAAUACUUCAAUAUUAUUCACAAAAAUUCACUAUUUCUUUACAAUGCCAAUUGUAACUUCCUCACAAUUGUAACUUCCUUACAAUUUCUUUUCAGAUAAAAUUCAUUUAUGAUGAAAUGAAAAACAUCACCGGCAUACCAUUUGAUGAGUUCCUACAAAUACAUACACCUGUGCGAUUCAAACCCCUAUCAAGGUGAGCCCCCUGAAGGAUUCUUCAGAGAGCAAGACACUGAUUAACACCAAGCCUGCAGAGAGGUGGGCUAAGCCCAAGAUCAAGGGUACAGGCACCAAUGACU